Molecule: ribosomal RNA, 486 nt
Filed under: uncultured bacterium
Lineage: Bacteria
Description: partial 16S ribosomal RNA
Rfam family: Bacterial small subunit ribosomal RNA
Source: RNAcentral
AACGAACGCUGGCGGCGCGUCUUACCCAUGCAAGUCGAGCGGCGGGCAGCAAUGCCGAGAGCGGCGGACUGGUGAGUAACACGUGGAUAACGUACCCCGAUGUCCGGGACAGCCUGUAGAAAUAGAGGGUAAUACCGGAUAGAUCACUGUUUACGUGAGGUAGACAGCGGGAAAGGAGCUUCGGCUCCGCGACGGGAUCGGUCUGCGGCCCAUCAGCUGGACGGCGGGGUAAAGGCCCGCCGUGGCGAGGACGGGUAUCCGGCCUGAGAGGGCGGACGGACACAUUGGGACUGAGAUACGGCCCAGACUCCUACGGGAGGCAGCAGGUAAGAAUAUUCCGCAAUGGGGGGAACCCUGACGGAGCGACGCCGCGUGAACGAAGAAGGCCGGAAGGUUGUAAAGUUCUUUUCUGUCCGAGGAAUAAGUUUCGGAGGAAAUGCCGGGACGGUGACGGUAGGGCAGGAAUAAGCACCGGCUAAUUACGUG